RNAcentral lists this ribosomal RNA (1372 nucleotides) under uncultured bacterium. RNAcentral describes it as "bacterial SSU rRNA". It matches the Rfam family "Bacterial small subunit ribosomal RNA", at positions 28 to 1381 of the family's 1533-position model. The record is from RNAcentral.
GAUGAACGCUGGCGGCGUGCCUAAUACAUGCAAGUCGAGCGAACGGACGAGAAGCUUGCUUCUCUGAUGUUAGCGGCGGACGGGUGAGUAACACGUGGAUAACCUACCUAUAAGACUGGGAUAACUUCGGGAAACCGGAGCUAAUACCGGAUAAUAUUUUGAACCGCAUGGUUCAAAAGUGAAAGACGGCCUUGCUGUAACUUAUAGAUGGAUCCGCGCUGCAUUAGCUAGUUGGUAAGGUAACGGCUUACCAAGGCAACGAUGCAUAGCCGACCUGAGAGGGUGAUCGGCCACACUGGGACUGAGACACGGUCCAGACCCCUACGGGAGGCAGCAGUAGGGAAUCUUCCGCAAUGGGCGAAAGCCUGACGGAGCAACGCCGCGUGAGUGAUGAAGGUCUUCGGAUCGUAAAACUCUGUUAUUAGGGAAGAACAUAUGUGUAAGUAACUGUGCACAUCUUGACGGUACCUAAUCAGAAAGCCACGGCUAACUACGUGCCAGCAGCCGCGGUAAUACGUAGGUGGCAAGCGUUAUCCGGAAUUAUUGGGCGUAAAGCGCGCGUAGGCGGUUUUUUAAGUCUGAUGUGAAAGCCCACGGCUCAACCGUGGAGGGUCAUUGGAAACUGGAAAACUUGAGUGCAGAAGAGGAAAGUGGAAUUCCAUGUGUAGCGGUGAAAUGCGCAGAGAUAUGGAGGAACACCAGUGGCGAAGGCGACUUUCUGGUCUGUAACUGACGCUGAUGUGCGAAAGCGUGGGGAUCAAACAGGAUUAGAUACCCUGGUAGUCCACGCCGUAAACGAUGAGUGCUAAGUGUUAGGGGGUUUCCGCCCCUUAGUGCUGCAGCUAACGCAUUAAGCACUCCGCCUGGGGAGUACGACCGCAAGGUUGAAACUCAAAGGAAUUGACGGGGACCCGCACAAGCGGUGGAGCAUGUGGUUUAAUUCGAAGCAACGCGAAGAACCUUACCAAAUCUUGACAUCCUUUGACAACUCUAGAGAUAGAGCCUUCCCCUUCGGGGGACAAAGUGACAGGUGGUGCAUGGUUGUCGUCAGCUCGUGUCGUGAGAUGUUGGGUUAAGUCCCGCAACGAGCGCAACCCUUAAGCUUAGUUGCCAUCAUUAAGUUGGGCACUCUAAGUUGACUGCCGGUGACAAACCGGAGGAAGGUGGGGAUGACGUCAAAUCAUCAUGCCCCUUAUGAUUUGGGCUACACACGUGCUACAAUGGACAAUACAAAGGGCAGCGAAACCGCGAGGUCAAGCAAAUCCCAUAAAGUUGUUCUCAGUUCGGAUUGUAGUCUGCAACUCGACUACAUGAAGCUGGAAUCGCUAGUAAUCGUAGAUCAGCAUGCUACGGUGAAUACGUUCCCGGGUCU